RNAcentral lists this ribosomal RNA (253 nucleotides) under uncultured bacterium. RNAcentral describes it as "partial 16S ribosomal RNA". It matches the Rfam family "Bacterial small subunit ribosomal RNA", at positions 524 to 776 of the family's 1533-position model. The record is from RNAcentral.
GACGUAGGGCGCAAGCGUUGUCCGGAUUUAUUGGGCGUAAAGAGCUCGUAGGCGGCUUGUUGCGUCGUCCGUGAAAACCCGCAGCUCAACUGCGGGCUUGCGGACGAUACGGGCAGGCUGGAGUUCGGUAGGGGAGACUGGAAUUCCUGGUGUAGCGGUGGAAUGCGCAGAUAUCAGGAGGAACACCGGUGGCGAAGGCGGGUCUCUGGGCAGUAACUGACGCUGAGGAGCGAAAGCGUGGGGAGCGAACAGG